ACAGAAGGUAACAAGGCUAGCAGGAAAAGCUGGAAAGAAAUCUACAGCUACAUAUCGCUACACUAGCAUGAUCUACACUAACCAACUGUAGUAAAAGUCACAACUGACUCAAUCUCACUAGGGACUGUGAACACACCCGUCCCGCCUGUCGGAUCGAACCCGUAUCCUACUCCAGGAAUAGCUGGUGGAGAAAACUCUCUAGGGACUGUGAAUACACCCGUCCCGCCUAAUUAGGUGACACCGUAGCUCAAGAGUAACUGGCGGAGAAAACUCUCUGGAGACUGUGAAUACACCCGUCCCGUCUACUAGAAUACGUCGUAUUUCAAGAGUAAUCGGCGGAGAAAACUCUCUAAAGACUGUGAAUACACCUGUCUCACCUAAUUAGACUACACCAUACCUCGAGAGUAGUCGGUCCCAGAAAAAGGUCCAACAGGAUGGUUAAGACUCCACUCACGUCACAACCUCACUAAAGGUAGGGAAAAACGUCACUCACUAUCUCACCCGGGCUGCCCAAAACGGACCCACCCUACCUGUAUCUAGCUGCGCCGUACACCACCCCGAGGGUAGCCGGCUCAAGAACUGUCCAACAGAAACUGCGACACUUAUCGCACUGAAAC
This 617-nucleotide long non-coding RNA is filed under the name Ananas comosus (pineapple). RNAcentral describes it as "long non-coding RNA (ACOM_LNC019581)". The record is from RNAcentral. Lineage: Eukaryota; Viridiplantae; Streptophyta; Magnoliopsida; Poales; Bromeliaceae.